UCACAUCAGUGGCAGUGCUGGGUAGCCACGUUCGUAACUGAGAAGCGCUGAAAGCAUCUAAGCGCCAAACAGGCCUCAAGACGAGAUAUCGAAGAUCCCUGGAAGACUACCAGGUUGAUAGGCGGCAGGUGUAAAAUUAGCAAUAAUUGUCUACGUUAAAUCGUAGGGUUCGCUAA
This is a non-coding RNA of Candidatus Curtissbacteria bacterium, 176 nucleotides long. The record is from Rfam. NCBI's taxonomy places the organism in Bacteria, Candidatus Curtissiibacteriota.